AUGCAUCUGAGCGAGAACGAGGGGAUCGAGGGCGUGCGGUUCGUGGUGACAGGCGGGCAGGGCUUCGUCGGCGCCGCCCUCUGCCUGGAGCUGAUCCGCCGCGGCGCCCUGGAGGUCCGCUCCCUCGACCUGCGCGCCUCCUCCUCCUGGUCCCAGCAGCUCCUCGACGCCGGCGUCCGCUUCUUCCAAGGGGAUGUUCGGAAGAAGGAGGAUGUGGGGAAGGUUUUCCGCAAUGUGGACUGUGUCUUCCACCUUGCUUCAUAUGGAAUGUCAGGGAAAGAAAUGGUACAGGCAGGACGAACAGAUGAGGUCAAUAUAAAUGGGACGUGCAAUGUACUGGAUGCUUGCCAUGAGCAUGGUGUUAGAAGGCUUGUGUAUGUUAGCACAUAUAAUGUGGUGUUUGGGGGAAAGCCAAUUGUCAAUGGCAGUGAGACGUUGCCUUAUUUUCCCAUUGAAGACCAUGUUGAUGCUUAUGGGCGUAGCAAAUCGAUCGCUGAACAGUUGGUGCUGAAGAGCAAUGGUCGGCAAGCUAAGAGUAGUAAAGGUACUCGCCUUUAUACAUGUGCAAUACGCCCGGCUGCUAUCUAUGGUCCAGGUGAAGAGCGUCAUCUUCCAAGAAUCCUGUCUCUUGGAAAAUUGGGAUUAGCAUCUUUCAGGAUUGGGGGUCCAAAUGUGAAGACAGAUUGGGUCUAUGCUGAUAAUCUUGUUCUUGCACUGAUAUUGGCAAGUAUGGGACUUUUAGAUGACAUUCCUGGCAGGAAGGGAACUCCUGUAGCAGCUGGUCAAGCAUACUUCAUAUGUGAUGGAGCGCCUAUUAAUAGUUUUGAUUUUAUCAUCAGUCCCUUGUUUCGAAGUUUGGGCUAUCCUGUACCUCGAGCUACACUAGAUACCUCUGUUGCCCUUGCAAUUUCAAGAAUCAUUUUGUUCAUGUCCACACUAUUCUAUCCAUGGUUAGAUAGUAAAUGGAUUCCUCAGCCUCUUAUUCUUCCUGCUGAAGUAUACAAGGUGGGUGUUACACAUUACUUUUCAUAUCUGAAAGCUAAGGAGGAACUUGGCUACGUGCCUGUGACGAGUCCACAGGAAGGCCUGGCCGCAACGAUCUCCUAUUGGCAAGAGCGGAAGAGGAGAGAGCUCGAUGGCCCGACGAUAUUCACCUGGGUUGCAGUAAUAGCCGGGAUGCUGGCUGUGUUCUCGGCCGCUUUCCUUCCCCCGUCGGUCCGCUCAAAUGGGUGCUCGCCAUCAAUCUGUUCGUUUUCCGCUCGAUGCUGGUGA
Molecule: ribosomal RNA, 1272 nt
Filed under: Triticum aestivum (bread wheat)
Lineage: Eukaryota; Viridiplantae; Streptophyta; Magnoliopsida; Poales; Poaceae
Description: partial small subunit ribosomal RNA
Source: RNAcentral